CAUAUAGUGUAAAUUAAAAUGUUCUUUCUUUCAGAGUUUCCUCCAGACUUUGCUGAGGCCUUUGAGUCUCAGUUGAGUCUAUCUGACAGUCCUUCACUUUGCAGACCAGUGCAUUCUAAGAAAGGUCUGGAACACAAAGCAGAUCUACAACAACAUUUAUUUCCAGUCCCACCAGGACAUUUGCAAUGUACUCCAGAGUCCCUCUGGAAGGAGCUGUCUUUACAGCAUGAAGGACUAAAGAAGUUAAUACACAAGCAAAUGCAACCUUUCUCCCAGGGAAUUGUGAUCCUCUCUAGAAGCUGGGCUGUGGACCUGAACUUGCAGGAGAAGCCAGGAGUCAUCUGUGAUGCUCUGCUGAUAGCACAGAACAGCACCCCCAUUCUCUACACCAUUCUCAGGGAGCAAGAUGCAGAGGGCCAGGACUACUGCACUCGCACCGCCUUUACUUUGAAGCAGAAGCUGGUGAACAUGGGGGGCUACACCGGGAAGGUAUGUGUUAAGGCCAAGGUCCUCUGCCUGAGACCUGAGAGCAGCACAGAGGCCUUGGAGGCUGCAGUGUCUCC
This 563-nucleotide small RNA is filed under the name Pongo abelii (Sumatran orangutan). RNAcentral describes it as "retained intron". Lineage: Eukaryota; Metazoa; Chordata; Mammalia; Primates; Hominidae. The record is from RNAcentral.